RNAcentral lists this unclassified non-coding RNA (505 nucleotides) under Zea mays. RNAcentral describes it as "misc RNA Zm00001eb273110". Lineage: Eukaryota; Viridiplantae; Streptophyta; Magnoliopsida; Poales; Poaceae. The record is from RNAcentral.
AGUCGAGGCAGCCCAACCUAUAAGAGAUUUUGACUCGGUUUCCAGCUGGAAUGCUUCAACUUGUGAACCUGCUGCAGCUAUUGGAGAGGAGGAACAUAUGGCUAACAAUGUUGCCAGAGCUAUGUACCUUGAUCAUGGUAUCCUGGCUCCUGAGUGUUGCGGUGUUGCCACGGUUUAUCUGGAUGUGUCUUAUGGGUGUGCAACAUUUUUCACUGGGCCUAUGCCUGCUACUAAAGAAAUUGGAUCACAAGUAGGAUCAUUUGACUGGAUAAGUAACGAUAUUUGCAUAGCCUGCUGUUUUUUAAGAAAACUAUAUAUUUUUAGAUAAACAUUCUCUUUUGUAAUUUUCUCACAAAAUUUCUAAAUGAACUGCACAAGAAUCCUAGAAACUACUGAAACGAGACAUGUUAGGUAUUUUGUACCCAUUACACUGUACACAUCAAACUAAUUGAUGAAAUACUGGAACAAACAUUAUACAGCUUCAAGGGGCCAAUAUUGAACAGAG